GUUAAUAAAAUCAAACAGCGAAAAGAAAAGAAAAAAUCCCUCCAUUUCCACUUUCACUCACUCUUCUUCUAAUUUAAUUGAUUGAUCCCAUUGGCCUCCCAAACCCUAAACCCUAGCCAUGGAGUGGAACCCACAGACUCUCCAAUUCCUCUCCGAAUGCUUCCUCCACACGCUCUCCCCCUCCCCGGAGCCCCGCCGCCGCGCCGAGUCCUCCCUCGCCGACGCCGCCGCCCGCCCCAACUACGCCCUCGCCGUCCUCCGCCUCGUCGCCGAGCCCUCCAUCGACGACCAGAUCCGCCAGGCCGCCGCCGUGAACUUCAAGAACCACCUCCGGCUCCGGUGGUCCUCCGACGACGCCCCCGUCCCCGACCCCGAGAAGGAGCAGAUCAAAACCCUAAUCGUCCCCCUGAUGCUCUCCGCCACCCCCAAAAUCCAAUCCCAGCUGAGCGAAGCCCUCGCCCUCAUCGGCCACCACGACUUCCCCAAAUCAUGGCCCUCCCUCCUCCCCGAACUCGUCGCCAACCUCCACAAAGCCUCCCAAGCCUCCGAUUACGCCUCCGUUAACGGUAUUCUCGGCACCGCCAAUUCCAUUUUCAAGAAAUUUAGGUUUCAGUAUAAAACUAACGACCUAUUGCUCGACCUCAAGUACUGCCUCGACAACUUCGCCAGGCCCUUGCUUGAAAUUUUCCUCAAAACGGCGUCGCUUAUCGACGCCGGCGCCCCCAACCUCCGGCAGCUCUUCGAGUCUCAGAGGCUCUGCUGUCGGAUAUUCUACUCGCUGAACUUUCAGGAGCUUCCUGAAUUCUUCGAGGAUCACAUGAAAGAGUGGAUGAGUGAGUUUAGGAAGUAUCUUACUACUAGCUACCCUGCUCUUGAGAGCAGUGGUGCUGAUGGUGUUGCGGUUGUUGAUGAGCUUAGGGCUGCUGUUUGUGAGAAUAUUAACCUCUACAUGGAGAAGAAUGAGGAGGAGUUUCAGGGCUUCUUGAAUGAUUUCGCGCUUGCUGUGUGGACUUUGCUUGGGAAUGUGUCCCAGUCUUCCACCCGUGACCGGCUUGCGAUUACCGCCAUUAAGUUUUUGACUACGGUUAGUACUAGUGUUCACCAUACUUUGUUUGCGAGUGAUGGGGUGAUACCGCAGAUUUGCCAGUGCAUUGUUAUUCCGAAUGUGAGGUUGAGGGAGGAUGACGAGGAGCUGUUUGAGAUGAAUUAUGUUGAAUUUAUUAGGAGGGAUAUGGAAGGGAGUGAUCUUGAUACUAGGAGGAGGAUUGCUUGUGAGUUACUCAAGGGUAUCGCGACACAUUAUGGGGAUGCUGUGAAAAGCAUUGUUUCUGCGCAGAUUCAGAGUUUGUUGGGUUCGUUUGCUGCGAACCCUGGGGCGAAUUGGAAGGACAAGGAUUGUGCUAUAUACUUGGUGGUUUCGCUUGCAACCAAGAAGGCAGGGGCUAGUGUUGUCUCCACGGAACUUGUUGAUGUUCAGAGCUUUUUUGAGUCUGUGAUUGUCCCUGAGCUGCAAAGUGCCGAUGUGAAUGGGUAUCCUAUGCUUAAGGCAGGUGCACUCAAAUUUUUUACCAUGUUCCGGACCCAAAUAUCGAAGCAUAUAGCGUUGAAGUUUUUUCCAGAUUUGGUUCGUUUCCUUACUGCAGAAUCUAAUGUCGUUCAUUCUUACGCUGCAAGCUGUAUUGAAAAACUCCUGUUGGUGAAGGAUGAAGGUGGUGGAGCACGUUAUACUUCAGCAGAUAUCAAUCCAAUUUUUGCAGUGCUGAUGAACAACCUUUUCAGUGCCUUUAAACUCCCAGAGUCUGAAGAGAAUCAAUAUAUAAUGAAAUGUAUUAUGAGGGUUCUUGCUGUUGCAGAUAUAUCUGUUGAUGUUGCACGAAUUUGCAUUGAAGGGUUGGGCUCUCUUCUCACUGAAGUUUGCAAAAAUCCGAAAAAUCCUGUCUUCAAUCACUAUCUCUUUGAGUCGGUAGCUAUUCUUGUGAGGCGGGCUUGUGAGAGGGACUCAUCUCUUGUAUCUGUUUUUGAAGGAAGCCUCUUUCCUAGGCUUGAAAUAAUAUUGGCCAAUGAUGUGACUGAGUUUUUACCGUACACGUUUCAGUUGCUUGCUCAGCUUGUUGAGUUAAACCGACCACCGAUCCCACCAAUCUACAUGCAGAUAUUUGAGAUUCUAUUGUCACCUGAUUCUUGGAAAAGAGCCUCAAAUGUUCCUGCCCUUGUGCGUCUACUCCAGGCCUUCCUUCAAAAGGCACCGAAUGAGAUCAGCCAAGGGGAUAGACUGACCAAAGUGCUUGGCAUAUUUGACACACUGAUUCAAUCUUCAAGCACAUCUGAACAAGGAUUUUAUGUGCUUAACACAGUCAUUGAAAGUCUCGAGUAUAAUGCUAUUAAACCGUAUAUUUCUCACAUCUGGGCUGCUCUUUUUAGAGAGCUCCAGAAAAAGCGAACUGUAAAGCUCAUCAAGUCUCUCUUGAUAUUCAUGUCACUCUUCCUGAUUAAGCACGGUUCUGCAAAUGUUGUUGAUACCAUGAACAGUGUCCAGCCUGAUAUAUUUAUUGUGAUUUUAAAUCAGUUUUGGAUUCCUAAUCUUAAGCUGAUUACAGGAGCUAUAGAACUCAAGUUGACUGCAGUUGCUUCAACUAGACUCAUCUGCGAGUCUCCAGUUCUUUUGGAUCCUGCAGCUUCUGUGUCAUGGGGUAAGAUGGUGGACAGCAUUGUGACACUCCUUUCCCGGCCAGAAGAGGAUAGAGUUGAGGAGGAACAUAACAUGCCAGAUAUUACAGAAAAUGCAGGGUAUACCAGCACCUUUGUUCUUCUUUACAAUGCUGGAAAGAAAGAAGAGGAUCCACUUAAAGAUAUAAGAGAUCCCAGGGAGUUUUUUGUAGCAUCAUUAUCUCGACUUUCUGCACUUACCCCUGGGAGGUACCCUAAAGUCAUCAGUGAAAACGUUGAUCCUGUGAAUCAAACAGCAUUGCUUCAGCUUUGCAACACUUAUAAUCUUUCAAUAGUUUGAUGAGUUGAAGUCACGACGAUUUUUGGAAGCAACAACUAUUUGCUUUUGUGGUUUGUAUGCUGGAAUACGAUGGGGUAUCACUGUCCGGGGUCCCCGCCUUUUGCAACAUUUUGAGCUAGCUAAGCUAAAGGUACUUCUUGCAUUGAAACAGAGGUUUUAGCGGCUAUUAUCAUCAUCAUCCAUUUUUGCCAGUCCCAUGAUUUAUGCGAUGCUGAACUGGAUUUCCUGUUAGUCCCAUUUUGAAUACUGUAAGCAUGUGUUUUGAAAUACGGUUUGGUCUGUUGGGAUAUUGGUGUAAAUUUUUUCAUGUCUCCCAUUCCCAGUUUCCUUCUGUUUCAGCAUGCCUGUGAGCAAAUUGUAAUGGAUAUCUAUCUUCGGUGCGGUCAUUUUUGUGUGAACUUGCAUAUUAAAGUAUAUUUUACAUUAAGGCGUAUUAUUUUUCACGA
Cajanus cajan (pigeon pea) is the source of this 3453-nucleotide RNA transcript. It is a transcript of the gene named cellular apoptosis susceptibility protein, putative / importin-alpha re-exporter, with no coding region annotated. Lineage: Eukaryota; Viridiplantae; Streptophyta; Magnoliopsida; Fabales; Fabaceae. The record is from RefSeq and is a predicted model, not a curated record.